AUACGGAGGAUCCGAGCGUUAUCCGGAUUUAUUGGGUUUAAAGGGUGCGCAGGCGGGAGAUUAAGUCGGCGGUGAAAUUUUUCAGCUCAACCGUAAAAGUGCCUUCGAAACUGGUUUCCUUGAGUGUAGAUGGAGUAGGGGGAAAUUUUGGGGGUGCGGUGGAAUGCAUAGAUAUCACGAGGAACUCCGAUUGCGCAGGCAGCUUACUAAACUACUACUGACGCUCAGGCACGAAGGCGUGGGGAUCAAACGGGAUUAGAUACCCUGGUAGUCCACGCAGUAAACGAUGAUUACUAGCUGUUUGCGAUACAAUGUAAGCGGCUGAGCGAAAGCGUUAAGUAAUCCACCUGGGGAGUACGUUCGCAAGAAUGAAACUCAAAUGAAUUGACGGGG
Molecule: ribosomal RNA, 393 nt
Filed under: uncultured bacterium
Lineage: Bacteria
Description: partial 16S ribosomal RNA
Rfam family: Bacterial small subunit ribosomal RNA
Source: RNAcentral